CCUACGGGGGGCAGCAGCUAAGAAUAUUGGGCAAUGGAGGAGACUCUGACCCAGCCAUGCCGCGUGAAUGAAGAAGGCCUUCGGGUUGUAAAGUUCUUUUAGUCGUGAAGAUGAUGACAGUAGCGACAGAAAAAGCUCCGGCUAAAUACGUGCCAGCAGCCGCGGUAAUACGUAUGGAGCAAGCGUUAUCCGGAUUUACUGGGCGUAACGGGAGCGUAGGCGGCUUGCCAAGUCUGAUGUGAAAUACCGGGGCUCAACCCCGGGGCUGCAUUGGAAACUGGCAGGCUGGAGUGCCGGAGAGGCAGGCGGAAUUCCUAGUGUAGCGGUGAAAUGCGUAGAUAUUAGGAAGAACACCAAUGGCGAAGGCGGCCUGCUGGACGGUGACUGACGCUGAGGCUCGAAAGCGUGGGGAGCAAACAGGAUUAGAUACCCCGGUAGUC
Molecule: ribosomal RNA, 440 nt
Filed under: uncultured bacterium
Lineage: Bacteria
Description: partial 16S ribosomal RNA
Rfam family: Bacterial small subunit ribosomal RNA
Source: RNAcentral